Molecule: ribosomal RNA, 515 nt
Filed under: uncultured bacterium
Lineage: Bacteria
Description: bacterial SSU rRNA
Rfam family: Bacterial small subunit ribosomal RNA
Source: RNAcentral
GAGUUUGAUCCUGGCUCAGAUUGAACGCUGGCGGCAGGCCUAACACAUGCAAGUCGAGCGGUAGAGAGAAGCUUGCUUCUCUUGAGAGCGGCGGACGGGUGAGUAAUGCCUAGGAAUCUGCCUGGUAGUGGGGGAUAACGCUCGGAAACGGACGCUAAUACCGCAUACGUCCUACGGGAGAAAGCAGGGGACCUUCGGGCCUUGCGCUAUCAGAUGAGCCUAGGUCGGAUUAGCUAGUUGGUGAGGUAACGGCUCACCAAGGCGACGAUCCGUAACUGGUCUGAGAGGAUGAUCAGUCACACUGGAACUGAGACACGGUCCAGACUCCUACGGGAGGCAGCAGUGGGGAAUAUUGGACAAUGGACGAAAGCCUGAUCCAGCCAUGCCGCGUGUGUGAAGAAGGUCUUCGGAUUGUAAAGCACUUUAAGUUGGGAGGAAGGGCAGUAAAUUAAUACUUUGCUGUUUUGACGUUACGACAGAAUAAGCACCGGCUAACUCUGUGCCAGCCGCCGCCG